GCCUGGGUGGCUCAGUCGGUUGAGUGUCUAACUUCAGCUCAGGUCAUGAUUUCACUGUUCAUGAGUUCGAGCCCCAUGUCAGGCU
Felis catus (domestic cat) is the source of this 85-nucleotide non-coding RNA. The record is from Rfam. NCBI's taxonomy places the organism in Eukaryota, Metazoa, Chordata, Mammalia, Carnivora, Felidae.